RNAcentral lists this long non-coding RNA (306 nucleotides) under Macaca mulatta (Rhesus monkey). Its description in RNAcentral is "lncRNA (ENSMMUG00000038049.2)". Lineage: Eukaryota; Metazoa; Chordata; Mammalia; Primates; Cercopithecidae. The record is from RNAcentral.
AUCACCCCAUCCCCUGUUUUCGUGUGCUUUUUCAUCCUCUUACCUUCCUCCUCAUUUUAUAUGCUUUCUCGUCCUCUUACUCUCCCAUCUAGUUAACGUGAGACAAGGGUGUUGACUGUGCAGCGCAGAACCAGUAGUUUGUAGAGAAGAACCAGGUGUGAUGUUGAAUCUGCUAGACAGGCUACUGAAGCAAAAGUCAAGAGAUCCAGAUCCCAUCAUGGGGACACUUUAGGGAUAGCCUUGCAAGGAAGCUACUUUCCUUCGGCACACAUAGACAGGACUCUACCAGAUAGCAAACAGGAUGUA